This 563-nucleotide ribosomal RNA is filed under the name uncultured bacterium. RNAcentral describes it as "partial 16S ribosomal RNA". It matches the Rfam family "Bacterial small subunit ribosomal RNA", at positions 355 to 914 of the family's 1533-position model. The record is from RNAcentral.
UGGGGAAUUUUGGACAAUGGGCGAAAGCCUGAUCCAGCAAUGCCGCGUGUGUGAAGAAGGCCUUCGGGUUGUAAAGCACUUUUGUCCGGAAAGAAAUCCUUGGCUCUAAUACAGUCGGGGGAUGACGGUACCGGAAGAAUAAGCACCGGCUAACUACGUGCCAGCAGCCGCGGUAAUACGUAGGGUGCAAGCGUUAAUCGGAAUUACUGGGCGUAAGCGUGCGCAGGCGGUUUGCUAAGACCGAUGUGAAAUCCCGGGCUCAACCUGGGAACUGCAUUGGUGACUGGCAGGCUAGAGUAUGGCAGAGGGGGGUAGAAUUCCACGUGUAGCAGUGAAAUGCGUAGAGAUGUGGAGGAAUACCGAUGGCGAAGGCAGCCCCCUGGGCCAAUACUGACGCUCAUGCACGAAAGCGUGGGGAGCAAACAGGAUUAGAUACCCUGGUAGUCCACGCCCUAAACGAUGUCAACUAGUUGUUGGGGAUUCAUUCCUUAGUAACGUAGCUAACGCGUGAAGUUGACCGCCUGGGGAGUACGGUCGCAAGAUUAAAACUUAAAGGAAUUGAC